CUCUUUCUCGGGAAAGGCGGAAAGCGAGUCUCCCGGGAUUCGAAGCCCGCCGCCCAAAAACUCAGUCGGAGGACGCUUUGGGCUCUCGAAGCAGGCGAAGGCCUCCAAAGCGGGCACAGCCACGAGCGCCGGCGGGAGGAAGCAUGUAGGCGCCCGCCGGCUUGGUUCUCCCUCCUCUCCGCCUUUUCCAACAGUUUCUCGGGCGGCGGGAGGGCCACGCCCCGGGGAAGAAGGCAGAGCCCGGCGCUGCCCAAGGAGGCUCGUUCGGCGAAGUCGCGUCCCUUUCCGAGCCUGAGCCAGGCAUGGAGCAACUUUGACGGGGCUUCCCUCGACGCGCCCGGACAAUGGGACGGGACAGAGCCCCGGGGGCAGGAGAUCAAAGGCAUGGACUGAUGGCAUGUAAUCUACUUUUAGGGGAGUCCCCAAGAAACAGAAUGUGUAUCUUGUUUACUGGGGGUUCUGCAGCCUCCACUUUUUCUCCAAAAAGUUGCUAGUAGGGACAUUUCUGUUGGCUUCAGACUGGAUCCCAGCACCGUGAGUUUUCUGAUUUCCCAGAGUGAUUAAAAACUUUCUUAUUCAUUCUUCCCUCCUCCUUACCCACCUUCUUGAAUCAUAGGAGAAAAGAAAGUAAAUUCUGCAAUUUGCUUGAGUAUGGCUCCUUGGUCACACAAGGAAAAAUGUAUUCCUGAUCUAUUGUCUCUCCCAACUCAAUUGCAUUUAUAAGAUGAGGAGCUAGCAGGUAGUUUUAAAGUUGGAGAUAAUGAUCCCAUUCACAAGAUCUGUGCAAUUUCUCAGGUGUAACCCUAAUUUGCUUUUCAAAAGCAGUUUUUUUUUGCCUAUAACGUAAGUGGUAGGGAUCAAGGAGUUCAGUCAUUCACCUACUCCAUGCAAUAAUGCAUGACAAGAAUAUUCCAAAGAUGUUUUCCGCUUUGAAGGCAACUGUUUCCUGCCCCUCUAGGUAUAACCAGAAAACAUAUUGAGGUAACUUUUCUCUUUACAGGAAACUGACAAGUAGAUCAGUGAUUCAUUUGCUAAUCUGAAAGCAAUUUGUGCUUCUUGGGAUACAUUUUUU
This is a non-coding RNA of Thamnophis sirtalis, 1072 nucleotides long. The record is from RefSeq and is a predicted model, not a curated record. Lineage: Eukaryota; Metazoa; Chordata; Lepidosauria; Squamata; Natricidae.